Molecule: ribosomal RNA, 254 nt
Filed under: uncultured bacterium
Lineage: Bacteria
Description: partial 16S ribosomal RNA
Rfam family: Bacterial small subunit ribosomal RNA
Source: RNAcentral
UACGUAGGACCCAAGCGUUAUCCGGAAUUACUGGGCGUAAAGAGUUGCGUAGGUGGCAGAGUAAGUAGAUAGUGAAAUCGUGUGGCUCAACCAUACACACAUUAUCUAAACUGCUCAGCUUGAGGACGAGAGAGGUACUUGGAAUUCCCAGUGUAGGAGUGAAAUCCGUAGAUAUUGGGAGGAACACCGAUGGCGUAGGCAGAGUACUGGCUUGUUCCUGACACUAAGGCACGAAAGCGUGGGGAGCGAACGGG